GGAAAACAAGAGAAAAAUUAAGGGCUUUAUUGAGAAGAGGGUCACAAAACAAUAGAGGGACUCUAGGAACAAUAGCAAAAAUGACCAAGUAUAGACAAGUUCUUAUUUGCAUUUGUAGCCUCUAAUGAACAAAAAUUAAAAUAAAUAGAAGAAAUAAAAGGGAACAAAUGAAUAAGUAUAUUGCUAAAAAAUACACAGUGAACCUUGAGCUGACUAUUGCCAAUCAGCUAAAGUGUAGAAUUUUCUGUAACAUAUCAGCUACCGUCUGUGGCCCAAGACCAUAUUCUGUAACUUGAUUCUGAUUGGGCAGAAAACCAAACAGGGAGCGCUUCAAAUGCAUGACAAUUACUGACAACAAAAUUCAUGUUAAUCAACCAUCACCUGCGCUGCGCAGAAACUCUGUGUUGAUGAGCCUUAAUAUCAUUUUGAAUUCUAUCAGCAUACAUUGGCAAGUGAAUGAUCUCAUCAAUCUCCUUGAACAAGACUUCCUCAUUAAUGUUAUCCCUUAUACUCCGCAUUACCUUUUUGUAGGUAUUGAACUCAUUUGGGGUUGAUUUGUCUGCCCUAAUCCGCAUAAAGACCCAUAACUGCCUCUCAGAAUCCCAAGAGCACUCUAUGAUCUUCCCUACAUACGAAGACAGAUCUGAUACAUCAUUAAAGACAAUUCUAUUUCUCUCCAUUAGCUUCUUUCUUCCACGUUCAUUCAGAAAAAGAAGUUGUUGAUUUUGAACUCCCAACUCAAAAAGAAAGUCAACUGAGUUCAUAUGAAGAUAUUUCCACUUUAGAAGCCCUUCAUGUGUGCGGGGCACAUAAGGAUCAUCCCAUCCCUGAAAAAGCAAAACAGUUAAGAGUAUCUGCUCCACUUGAUAUAUCGAAGGCUCCAUCAUAAUAAACAUAUAAGCAUUUUACACUUGCUAAAUGAAUGGUUAGUGCAACAUAAAGAAAAGUUUUACAGCAAUUGAAUUGUGCUAAUACAGCAUUGACUAACAGGAGUUGAACAACGUUGCUGAAACAUCAUCAUGAAGUUCUGCAGGUUGGUAAAAUUGAAUUAAACUUAACCGGAAUCGGUUUCAUCCCCCAAUUUCCUUUUUCAUGUGAUCUAUAUUUAUAUCACAGAUCAUAUGGAAAAAAUGAAAAAGCAGGAAAAGAAGUGGGGUGGGGGAAGAGAAGGGAGGUAGAGAUUGAGAGAGAUUGACCAAAAACAGAAGCAAGUGCAGAUCCUGACAGAUUCAGUAAUUCGUAAAGCAGUUCAUUAUUUGGUCUCUGUUAUUCCUAACUAGGUAUAACUGAUUUGACUGUCCCUAUACUCAAGCUGCUUCUUAAGCACCUGAAAUAUGAGACCAUCAGCUUCAUGUGAAAGUCUAGGAAUAAAUUGCUUUAGAAGCUUGUCGACAGUAGAAAGCAACCAGAAGUCCUUUCUUCUCACACUAAAUGGUUCCAAGUCAUAUCUAUAGUAUGGAUUCACGCUCUUGGAAAGAGACUCUCGCUCCAAAUUUCGAGGUUCAAUUACUUCUUUAACAAGUAUCCUCCACCUCUCAUGGAAGGGCAGCUGCAAAAAAUAUAUCUUAUUAGUAAUUAGAAGAUGACAUCUAAGUAGAUAAUAUCGAAAAUAAAAUGCCUAGGGAAAAAAAAACCUCAUUAAUUUACAAGUUGCCAUUCAAAGCUAAAAGAGAUGCAUAGAGAGGUGGAAAAUGGCUGCUUCUGAAAAACCAACAUUGUUUCUUCAUCUUGUGUGAAGUUCAUGAAUUAGCAAAAUGUCCAAUGAAACCACUUUCUAUAACCACCAGAAAAGCGCAUCAAACCCACCAACAUUUUUCCAUUUCAAUGUAAACUUUAUAUUUACCAAUUGACCACCCAUACAUUCAGAAUUAUUUUGGUUUAUAACUGAAUUUUGAUUUAUUGAACUGCUGAAAAAGAUUUUUGGCUCUGCCAAUGAGUAAAAUAAACCACAUGAGAAAGCCUGAAUAAAGACUUGCUUGCAAGCACUUCAUAGCUAAGCUAACCUCCACUACAGACACUUGGUUGAUUGCCAUCACAUCAUAAAUGAGAUAUCUUCUCUCUUGCUUUCGUGUAUUAGAGUCGGUAUCAAUAACCAUCUCUCCAUCUAGUAAGGUGUAGUGGUGAAUCUGAUCAGGCACACCCUUAUUUGUGUGUUUGCAUGGAAACCGCAUAUCAACUCUUCGGAAGUAAAAAUUCCUGUCAAUCAAGUAGCAUCCAUCCCUAGUUAUUAGCAUCAUAUAUCUCGUUCCAUCAGCCUUCCAUGUGGCAUAAUAAUAUCGCUGUCUUAAGAGCUGUAAUUUGUCUCUGUUGAGAGAAACUGGGUGUGAUCCAGGAAAUUGUGGAUUUCCUCUUGCCGGAAGUCCUAAUUUAAGUAAUUGAUAGCAGAUUUGUCGCAUUGCUUGUAGUUGGUCAAAAGACACCACAUCUCCCAGCAGAUCAUCAUUCGUCAUUUCAAGAUCUCGCUUGCAAUUCUCAAGCAAAGGAGUUGCCCCAUUAUUAUGAUCUUGUACAGCUUCACUGUAAAAGUCAGGAUCAGAAGAUCUUUUCCACUCCGGAGUUUGAGGGCAAACAAUUGACUCUGGCUUCUCUUCAUGAUAAAAUGUAUAUAAUGAGUCAAUAUAGUCUUGUUUAUAAAUUCCUGGAGGGCGGGCCCCAGCAAAUAUGUUUAUCGCCUCAGUGACAGAAAUUGAUUUUGUACGCUUAAGAAAAUGAGCAAUCAUAUAACCUGUGCGGUUAUGACCAUGUGUGCAAUGGACAAGAAUAUAUUUCUCUGCGUGUCUCACUCGGGAGCGAAAUUGUAAAACCUAAGAAGAAGAAGCAAAAAGUUUGAAUCAGAAUUAUGGAGGAGGAGGAGUGGGGCGGUGGGUGGGCUGGGGAAGGGGAGAGGAGGAGGACUGAGGCUCCUUUCUUCCAGUAAUAGCUAUCGAUCCAUCAUUCCAGGCACUAACCAAGAGAUGGCUCCUCAUACCACCACGAAAUUGUCAAGUAAGCAAUGAGGUCAAAAGAUAAUUAAUACAAUGCAAAACAUCAGAGGAAAAGGCAUGCAAAAUUUUUUUCUAUGGGAAGCAUAAUUACUAUGAUAAAAAAACCUACCUCAUAGACAAACUUAUUUACAGACGCAUCAUCAGGUACAGAAUCCCUGCCCUUACAUCUAAUCUUAAUAUGGUCAAUUCCUUCUUCUGACCAGGCUGAUAAGGUGUAGUAACGAUUAGUGUUUGUUAGAUCAAUCACUAAACCAAGUUCUCUUCCAAGUUGUCUUUGUUCAUAUAUCACAUGUUUGGGUGUGUAUCUUUUGCUCGGAAGGUAUUGAUUGAAGGACUCACCAAGUGGAACUUUUGAAGGAAUUAUACAAUCUAUGGCUUGACCAUAUGCAGGGCAAUCUAACCAACCAGGGGGAAGCACGUUUCCAUCAUAGGAUCCACUGUUUCCAAAUUUAAAUCGUCGAUCAUUCAUAAAUGAGGGAGAGAUAUGCACUUGACCCUCGCCUGGGAAUUUCCUUUUUGUCCUCCAUUGUCUUCCUUCACUAUCUGCUGGUUCUACAUGCGCCGGCCCUGCAACUCUGUCCGCAAUCUCUUCAUACUUCUUGGAUUGCCCGGAGCCAUUUGAAUCCAUGGUGAAAUCACUAAAUUAGGUAUCUGCUUGAAAUUGUGACUCUGUUCAAGCAUCAACAAACCAAUGCGAAUUAGAUUGCAUCUACUGCAACUACAAGAAUCGAGCUCAAUGAGUUUAUGACUAUAUAUAGUGAUUUCCGUAUUGAAUUAAUGAACAUUUGCAGUCGAUUGAGAAUUAAAAAGAAAAUCUCAUACAGUUUAAA
RNAcentral lists this unclassified non-coding RNA (3814 nucleotides) under Hevea brasiliensis (rubber tree). Lineage: Eukaryota; Viridiplantae; Streptophyta; Magnoliopsida; Malpighiales; Euphorbiaceae. The record is from RNAcentral.